Long non-coding RNA from Papaver somniferum (opium poppy), 2677 nucleotides. RefSeq lists it as uncharacterized. The record is from RefSeq and is a predicted model, not a curated record. Lineage: Eukaryota; Viridiplantae; Streptophyta; Magnoliopsida; Ranunculales; Papaveraceae. The transcript has 11 exons.
CGAGUUGAAGCUCUGAACUUCUCAAAACCCCAUCUUAGAUUCAAAAGAAAACCUGGUCUCUUCUUCAAUUGACUUCUUCUUAAUCAAGAGCAUAAAGUUAUCAAAAUCAGCUUCACAUACCCUAUCACAAAAUCGAUUGAACCACAACAACCCUAGUUCGCUAAACAGUUGGAAGCAUUGAUCUGAGCUUUUAGGUCAUCUGUGACAUUUGGAAGCAUCGAUCUGAUAAUCAGAUAAUUCACCUGGUAAUGAAUUGCCCUGUUAUUGUCCCCGUGAGGAUGAAAGAUAUGGUCGAAUCGUGAGGAUACCGAAGCCAUUGGCUCAGAUUAUGAUCGUUACUUGCGUAAUUGAGGAGUAACUGAAAUUACAUUUCAUUACAUAAGAGUGUUUUUUUGGAUAUUUGCUGCAGAUAGGCUUUGAAUUAGGUUCAUCAUUCAAACCAUUCAAUCAGCUGAUGGGUGUCUUUCCAGCUGCAAGUUCCCUUGCGCUACCUGAGCAUUAUAGGAAAUUGAUGAGCGACCCAACUUCACCGAUUAUUGAUUUUUAUCCGACUGGUAUGUUCUAUGGUCUCGAAAAUACGUAGUGUUAAAUUCGUUAAGAUUGGCAAGAGGUUUACAUGGCAGGUUAGAUUCUUAAAUUUCUUGUGUAGAGUGUUGGAUAUUUUGGUUCUUGAUAUCUGUUUUAUGGGAGAGUUGAAAAUCUCAUUUAUACCAAUUACUCGAGAUUCUCUUUUUGUAGGGUAUCCCUAAACUACCAUUCAUCGAUGAAAGUCGUCUUCUUACCAAGCGUAGUAUAUGUUGUUUUGGAUCUAUUACAGGGUUAGCGUAGUUGCUAUUGCCAAGUUCAAUGAAUUUGAAAAAUUGCAAGAAACGUCUUCAUGCAAAAUAUGUUGUUCAUCCAGAUGCAUCUAACACUUUAUUUGUCGAAUGGUUGCCUGCAAAUUGUACAAAACGUGAAUUCUCUCGUAUCCUUUUUAUCAGCAGACUCUAUCUUCAUGUCUUUUUUUGUUUAUUGAGAACUUUUCCUCCUCCGAACGCUUUUUUUCAUAUAUCAUCUUCAGUUGAUGGACCUUCACUUGGGUUUGUAGUUAUCUUGCUCCUUUUGUAGGUUUUAAAGAAGUAACACCUAUGAGCAAGGAGUCUCGUCAUUCUGGAGGAGAUCCACUUGUCCUGUGUUUUGUUGAUAUUAUCAAUCCUGUGCAAGCAGCAACGGUGUUGGGCGCCUUACAAGGCGAACACAAAAAGCUUACUCUUCUUAUUUGUUCACUUUAUGUGAAGCUUAUCUCCAUUUGCAUACACAAACUUAUUUUACCAUGUCUCCUCAUCGUUGCUGCUUGCAUAGGAUUCCAAAAUAGUGUAUUUGCAUCGCGAUGGAGCAUCAUUAGUGCACUUAGGUUACAGACCAAAACCUUGAUAUUUCGCAGAAGACACCUGCUUGUGUACCUUAUGCUUUGCGGCACUAUUAUUAUCAGUAUUUAUCGUCCAUCGCUGAGGCUGUUGAGGUGUGAUCUUAAAUGAUGAUUCGACAAAUUGUUAAUUGACAAGGAUAAACUUUUUGGUGAGCUUGCAUCUAUGAGUGCAAGGUGUAGUUCUUGUUCCGACCAUAUUUGCUUAGAAUUGUUAAAUCAAGCAAGAUGUUGUUAAUCAAACUGGUACAUGGAUAAUUUUCAGAUACAAAUCUGAAUACAUUCAUCAUAGAGUGCAAGGUUAGUAUGUCAGAAACAUGAUGUUAGCAGUCGCAGUCAUCCGCCUAAAUAGUUAAGUUGUUGCUUGAUUUUAUAACCUGAUUAUGCCUAUUUUAACAUGCUGAUUGCUCGACUCUGCAUAUAGUUAUUUCACCUCCUAUAUUGCAGGAGAAGAUCUCAAUUCUUAGAGAAAAUGACACAUUACUAAAAGCAAAGGAAAAUCUGAAUCUUUAGAUGGAUUCUUUGAUGAAAAACAAAGAUUUAGCUGACGGUCAAAUUAUGGCACUAACAAAAUUUAUUGGAAGCUCUUCAAAAAGAUCUUAAGGACCGAGAGAUUCAGGUACAGGAUUUGAAGCAGUCAUUGGAGCUUCAAAGACAGGAACUAAAUGACUGCAGAGUGAGAUCACUUUACUAAAAAUGCACAUAGAGGGAUAGAAAAUUCUAUGGAAUCACAUCUCCGCGCUUUUGGUGAAAGAAAACGCUGGAAAAUUGAAGUUUUAUUGCGGAUGUUGACAAAGUUCAUCAUCAGUAACAUGUCAACCGUGGAUCAUCUCCAUCUGACCAAUUUGUCCUCAUAGCUAGCCUAGUGAUUUCCUUGGAUGCACUUGAAUGUUUUGAUAAAGUCUUAUGUAUGAGCUGAAAGGGAUCCCCAUCAGCAGAUUGCACUCCUAACAGCGUUCCUGGCAAAGGUGAAUAAGGUAUUUGGGCUUAAGUCAAAAAGCAGUACUCUGGUGAUAUUUUAGAAGCAGUUGACUCUUUGCUGAGGAGAUUGGUUAAGCAAGCGGAGCCUGGUGAUACUUCUGGUGAUAUUUAGUCUUUAUUUCCCUGUUUUUCAAUGCCUCUGUCAGUUGACACAAACUAGGUUACCCAUCCAUUUUAAAAACAUCAAUAUAGAUCGAAUAUUGUAUGUCAGUCACAACAUACAUAAGUUUACUUGUGUACAUUCAAUUGAAUAAUCCUUUCUUUUAUGAUAAUAUUACCAGUGGUGAUUCU